GCACCCCCGAGUGUGCAGGCAACACCGUUCAAAUGCUGGGCGUGUCGGGCGCAAGCCCGUCACCAUCAGCAGCCGGCGCUCCGGCGCUCGGCUCACAGAUCAUCCGACGGUGACCUAUCAAGGUUAAGAUAUGAUCGGUCCCGGCCCGCCCUGGGCCCUGGAGACACGGAACCUGCGGAAGGAUCAUUACCGAGAGACGGGAUCUAACCGGUCCCAACUCUUCACCCCUGUCUACCCACAAUAUGUUGCUUUGGCGGGCCAACCGGAUCUUCCCGGGGAAGGCUUACCCCUUCUCGUGCCCGCCGAAGGUCUCAAUAAACCCUGUGAUCAGUGUCGUCCGAGUAAAAACAAUCGUUAAAACUUUCAACAACGGAUCUCUUGGUUCCGGCGUCGAUGAAGAACGCAGCGAAAUGCGAAAAGUAAUGUGAAUUGCAGAAUUCCGUGAAUCAUCGAAUCUUUGAACGCACAUUGCGCCCUUUGGUAUUCCGAAGGGCAUGCCUGUUCGAGCGUCAUUGCACCCCUCAAGCAUUGCUUGGUAUUGGGCCUCGCCCCCGCGGCGGGUCUGGAUUUUAGUGGCGGUCCAGCGAGACUUCAAGCGUAGCAAGAUUAUCACAUACCGCUUAGCAA
RNAcentral lists this unclassified non-coding RNA (627 nucleotides) under Physconia americana. Its description in RNAcentral is "sequence contains 18S rRNA gene, ITS1, 5.8S rRNA gene, ITS2, 28S rRNA gene". The stretch from base 359 to 512 matches the Rfam family "5.8S ribosomal RNA". The record is from RNAcentral. Lineage: Eukaryota; Fungi; Ascomycota; Lecanoromycetes; Caliciales; Physciaceae.